Molecule: ribosomal RNA, 501 nt
Filed under: uncultured bacterium
Lineage: Bacteria
Description: partial 16S ribosomal RNA
Rfam family: Bacterial small subunit ribosomal RNA
Source: RNAcentral
AUUGAACGCUGGCGGCAGGCUUAACACAUGCAAGUCGAGCGGGGGAAGGUAGCUUGCUACCGGACCUAGCGGCGGACGGGUGAGUAAUGCUUAGGAAUCUGCCUAUUAGUGGGGGACAACAUCUCGAAAGGGAUGCUAAUACCGCAUACGUCCUACGGGAGAAAGCAGGGGAUCUUCGGACCUUGCGCUAAUAGAUGAGCCUAAGUCGGAUUAGCUAGUUGGUGGGGUAAAGGCCUACCAAGGCGACGAUCUGUAGCGGGUCUGAGAGGAUGAUCCGCCACACUGGGACUGAGACACGGCCCAGACUCCUACGGGAGGCAGCAGUGGGGAAUAUUGGACAAUGGGGGGAACCCUGAUCCAGCCACGCCGCGUGUGUGAAGAAGGCCUUAUGGUUGUAAAGCACUUUAAGCGAGGAGGAGGCUAAUCUAGUUAAUACCUAGGGAUAGUGGACGUUACUCGCAGAAUAAGCACCGGCUAACUCUGUGCCAGCCGCCGCCGUAA